AAGUCGUAACAAGGUUUCCGUAGGUGAACCUGCGGAAGGAUCAUUAUCGAGUUUUUGGAAAGGCGGGGGGAAAGGCUUGAUGCUGGUGGAGUGGCAACACUCUGCAUUUUUGUGCUCAGUCUUUCUCCUUUCCGACUCAAUCCACUCAACCACACUUGUGCACGCUCGAGGUUCUUGGUCUGGUACUUCCCCCCACGUCAGUGGGAGCAGCUGCCCGCUUUCCACCCUUCGGGGAGGCCGGUGGGAUUUGGCUGGGAUAUCAGGCUGGGGCUUCCUUAUUACAAACUUUUUAUUACUGUCUGUCAGAAUGUAAUGCCCCUUGUGGGCGAAAUGUUUAAUUACAACUUUCAACAACGGAUCUCUUGGCUCUC
This 371-nucleotide unclassified non-coding RNA is filed under the name air metagenome. RNAcentral's name for it is "partial contains small subunit ribosomal RNA, internal transcribed spacer 1, and 5.8S ribosomal RNA". The stretch from base 1 to 46 matches the Rfam family "Eukaryotic small subunit ribosomal RNA", at positions 1786 to 1831 of the family's 1831-position model. The record is from RNAcentral.